GGGACGAACGCUGGCGGCGUGCUUAACACAUGCAAGUCGAGCGGAAAGGCCUUUCGGGGUACUCGAGCGGCGAACGGGUGAGUAACACGUGAGUAAUCUGCCCAUCGCUUCAGGAUAGCCAUCGGAAACGGUGAUUAAUACUGGAUAUGACAUUCCUUCGCAUGUUGGGGUGUGGUAAAGUUUUUUCGGCGGUGGAUGUGCUCGCGGCCUAUCAGUCUUGUUGGUGGGGUAAUGGCCU
This 238-nucleotide ribosomal RNA is filed under the name uncultured soil bacterium. RNAcentral's name for it is "partial 16S ribosomal RNA". It matches the Rfam family "Bacterial small subunit ribosomal RNA", at positions 27 to 266 of the family's 1533-position model. The record is from RNAcentral.